GAGUCCAACAUCUGGAUAAAGUGUGCCCAACGUUAACCUUUGUUUUUCUUCUGUUUUCGUAGAAAUGGCUCUUAUUGAAAAUCUGCCUUCAUCACAUACAGAGGUCUAGCCCAUCUGCAAUGCUACCUCCUGGAUGGGACACAGCUAAUUAAACUGACCUAUUCUCAAGAACUAGACAGGGCUUAUGACCACUAUCAUGAAUAUUCAUAGCUCUUCCUGUAACUUGUUAAAUAUAUAUUUAGCCAACCUGUCAUCAUAUCCAUUACAAUUGGCUUAAUUAUUAAGACUAAAUGCUGCAUAUAUAUCCCAGAUAAUUCAGGAGAUGUCUUGAUAACCCUGUAUAUUAGUUCUCACACUGCUAUAAAGACAUACCAGAGACUGGGUAAUUUAUAAAGAAAAGGGGUUUAAUCAUCUCAUGGUUCUGUGGGCUCUACAGGCUUCUGCUUUUGGGGAAGCCUCGGGAAACUUACAGUCAUAGUAGAAGGCAAGGGCAAAGUAGGCACAUCUUCACAUGGGCAGCAGGAGAAAGAGACAGACAGAAGGGAGAAGUUCUACACACUUUCAAAGAAUCAGAUCUCAUGAAAACUUACUGUCAUGAGAACAGCAAGGGGGGAAGUCCACCUUCAUGAUCCAGUCACCUCCCACCAGGCCCCUCCUCCAACAUUGAGGAUUACAAUUCAACGUGAGAUUUGGGUUGGGACACAGAGCCAAACCAUAUCACCCUCCAAGACAUGAACCAACAAAUCAAAGUUAUGUCUAAUCCGACAUUGUUGCUAGAUCAUCCUGAUUCAGGUCAGGACUAUUUUGGUGGCAGAAGCUACUUAUGACUUUGGUCCUUGUGCAAGAAUAAGCAGACUUCCACGUUGUGGAUUUUACUGUCGUUGCACCCUCUGAAAAGGAAUGCAAGGCAGGCUUUCCCAGAAACUUUCUAGACCUUGCAUCAUAAUGCUCCAACAAAUAUUAUCUGUAAGUCCAGGUACUCAUGAAUAUUUCCAGCCCCAAGUAGAUUAGUUCCCUUCUGAUGCUCAGUGACUAUGUCUCCAUUAGCAGUAAGUACUUAGCUAGAAUGAAUACAGUGCCCAAAUCCCAUAGAAAUGGAAUGGAACCUGGCAGUGAGGAAUUGUAACAGAGUACAUCCAUUUUUCUAAGAGAUAAAAUGAAUAAUUAAAAAAAUUUUUUCUCUUUCCCCCUUUUCCCCGCUUCCUACUUAGCUCUUUGGAAAUGCAAUUAUAACCUUUUACCUCCCCUUCACCAGACACUCCCUACAGGGCAAGCGCAUCUAACUUUGUCCUAAGAAGCUCUGCUGGGAAGCUCUCUCCAACCAGGAGGUUGUCUUAAGAGAAAACAGUUAAUUUACAUCCCAAAGUAUGCCCACUACAAAACUCUGUCCCACCUGGAGCGUUUUGGCCACCUUUACAAUAUAGUUCUGCCCACAAAGGCACCAGUAGUCACCAGCUCAACUACCCACUAGAUAAAGCCCUGAAGCAAGUUAUGUGGACCCCUAGCUUCUCACUUCCUCUCUUGUAUGCCAUUCAUGCAAAGCCCCCUUUUAAAAGCACUAACUUUCGGCCGGGCGUGGUGGCUCACGCCUGUAAUCCCAGCACUUUGGGAGGCUGAGGUGGGAUGAUCGCGAGGUCAGGAGUUCAAGACCAUCCUGGCUAACAUGGUGAAACCCCAUCUCUACUAAAAAUAAAAAAAAAAAAUUAGCUGGGCGUGGUGGUGGGCGCCUGUAGUCCCAGCUACUCGGGAGGCUGAGGCAGGAGAAUGGUGUGAACCCAGGAGGCAGAGCUUGCAGUGAGCCAAGAUCGCGCCACUGCACUCCAGCCUGGUGACAGAGCAAAACUCCAUCUCAAAAUAAAUAAAUAAAAAAUAAAUAAAAGCACUCACUUUCUGCUCCAAAAGUGAGGUGGUGCCCCUAAGGCAGGAAGUCUGCAUAUGUUCUCCUAAGUUAGCUUUGGAAUAAAAAGUCACUUUCUUUAUACCAGGCCUCACUCUUGUUAAUUGGACUCUGCAAGCAGCUGCAUUUUGGUUACACUUUGGUACAUUCAGUAAUAGCUUUUCUUUUCUUUUCUUUUCUCUUCUCUUCUUUUCUUUUCUUUCUUGAAAGGGUCUCACUGUCAUCCAGGCUAGAGUGCAAUGAUGCAAUCAUGGCCCACUGCAGCCUCAAUCUUCUGGAUUCAAGUGAUCCUCCCACUUCAGCCUCCUGAGUAGCUGAAACUACAGGUAGAAGCACUUGAAAAAACAAUCAGGACCAACCUGUCUUUCCGUCUCCAAGAGAAGUUGAAUCAAGAUCUGGCGUUGAUCAUGCGAUCCUGGACAUAAUGUCAGUGCAAUCAUUGGACAAGUCUUUUGGGAUAUCUUGGGGAAGAGGAUGAGUAUAUUUUUCCCAGCAGCCAGGAAGGAAAUGAAUAUUUAUGAUCCAGUGUGCAGAUCAUGGUAGAUUGGAUUAUUGUUUUCAAUUCUUCACUCUCUCCCUGUGUUUGGAUUUCGCAGCCACAUACUUUGUUAUAUGACUUUGCGGUAUCUCCUGUUAGAAUAGAUGGAGUCCAUUUCUCUCCUAGCAUUGGGUUUGGGUGUGUGAGUUUUGGGUGGAUAGAACAUACGCCACAUCUGAGCAGAUGUUUUGAGAGCCCUUGCAUGGUUCAGCCAUUGCUCUUUUAUCUCCACCAUGAGACUGAGGUAUAGGCUGCUCCUUCAGCCUGUGCCCUGGAAGAAUGAAGACACAUGGUGCAGACAUGUAACAUGAGUGAGAAAUGAACACUUAUUAUUGUAAGCCACUGAGAUUUGGGUGUAAUUCGUUACCGUGGAAUAACCUUGUGAAAGAUGACUACUAUGUUGUGUAAAUAAACACACAAACCAAAACAACAACAAGAACAACCAAAAUAAAUUUCAGGAUAAUGUCUUGAGUUUUU
Long non-coding RNA from Pan troglodytes (chimpanzee), 2912 nucleotides. RefSeq lists it as uncharacterized. The record is from RefSeq and is a predicted model, not a curated record. Lineage: Eukaryota; Metazoa; Chordata; Mammalia; Primates; Hominidae. The transcript is spliced from 3 exons.